This 467-nucleotide ribosomal RNA is filed under the name uncultured bacterium. RNAcentral's name for it is "partial 16S ribosomal RNA". It matches the Rfam family "Bacterial small subunit ribosomal RNA", at positions 28 to 506 of the family's 1533-position model. The record is from RNAcentral.
GACGAACGCUGGCGGCGUGCUUAACACAUGCAAGUCGAACGGAAAGGCCCUGCUUUUGUGGGGUGCUCGAGUGGCGAACGGGUGAGUAACACGUGAGUAACCUGCCCUUGACUUUGGGAUAACUUCAGGAAACUGGGGCUAAUACCGGAUAGGAGCUCCUGCUGCAUGGUGGGGGUUGGAAAGUUUCGGCGGUUGGGGAUGGACUCGCGGCUUAUCAGCUUGUUGGUGGGGUAGUGGCUUACCAAGGCUUUGACGGGUAGCCGGCCUGAGAGGGUGACCGGCCACAGUGGGACUGAGAUACGGCCCAGACUCCUACGGGAGGCAGCAGUGGGGAAUAUUGCACAAUGGGCGGAAGCCUGAUGCAGCAACGCCGCGUGCGGGAUGACGGCCUUCGGGUUGUAAACCGCUUUCGCCUGUGACGAAGCGUGAGUGACGGUAAUGGGGAAAGAAGCACCGGCUAACUACGU